Molecule: unclassified non-coding RNA, 379 nt
Filed under: uncultured Oligoflexales bacterium
Lineage: Bacteria; Pseudomonadati; Bdellovibrionota; Oligoflexia; Oligoflexales
Description: contains 16S-23S intergenic spacer region
Source: RNAcentral
UCCGUGUUAACCACGGCAGUCUCCCUAGAGUGCCCAACUUAAUGGUGGCAACUAAGGACAAGGGUUGCGCUCGUUGCGGGACUUAACCCAACAGGUCACCCCACGAGCUGACGACAGCCAUGCAGCACCUGUCUCUCAGUGAUAUUGCUAUCAAGGCCGUAUUUCUACGGAUGUCUGAGGAUGUCAAACCCAGGUAAGGUUCUUCGCGUUGCUUCGAAUUAAACCACAUGAUCCACCGCUUGUGCGGGCCCCCGUCAAUUCCUUUGAGUUUUAGUCUUGCGACCGUACUUCCCAGGCGGGGUACUUAUUGCGUUAGCGCCGACUCAGCAGGGGUCAAGACCCACCAAAUCUAGUACCCAUCGUUUACAGCGUGGACUAC